GUGCGUACAAGAGAAGCCAGGAGCAAGCUCCCAUGGAGCUUCACCCUAAAAUUCAACAAAACCCUCAAAUUGGAGGAUCAAACAAUGGCCAAACUCGGAUCUGAACACAUAGAAACGGUCACCAAGUCAGGGGGAUCGUAAGUAUGACUCUUGACAAGCUAGAAGGAGACUUGGGCAAGGAACGGGUCAAACGGUUCGUGUAUGGGAAAAAGAGCAUAAUCGGAUGCAAGGUACUUUUGGAUGCCGGAAGACGAUCAAGCUCAGUGAAGAACCGAACAUGAUAAAGACACACGCUUC
Long non-coding RNA from Helianthus annuus (common sunflower), 297 nucleotides. RefSeq lists it as uncharacterized. The record is from RefSeq and is a predicted model, not a curated record. NCBI's taxonomy places the organism in Eukaryota, Viridiplantae, Streptophyta, Magnoliopsida, Asterales, Asteraceae. The transcript is spliced from 3 exons.